ACACGUAGGAGACAAGCGUUAUCCGGAUUUAUUGGGCGUAAAGAGCAUGUAGGCGGGUUCCCAAGUCGGACGUGAAAUCUUUCGGCUUAACUGAGAGAGGUCGUUCGAAACUAGGAGUCUUGAGGGUAGGAGAGGGGAGUAGAAUUCCGGGUGUAGUGGUGGAAUACGUAGAUAUCCGGAGGAAUACCAGUGGCGAAGGCGGCUCCCUGGCCUAUGCCUGACGCUGAGAUGCGAAAGCGUGGGUAGCAAACGGGAUUAGAUACCCCGGUAGUCCACGCCCUAAACGAUGGAUACUAGGUGUCGGCGGUCUUUACCCCGCCGGUGCCGCAGUUAACGCGAUAAGUAUCCCGCCUGGGGACUACGGUCGCAAGACUAAA
This 377-nucleotide ribosomal RNA is filed under the name uncultured bacterium. RNAcentral describes it as "bacterial SSU rRNA". It matches the Rfam family "Bacterial small subunit ribosomal RNA", at positions 523 to 898 of the family's 1533-position model. The record is from RNAcentral.